RNAcentral lists this long non-coding RNA (439 nucleotides) under Daucus carota (carrot). RNAcentral's name for it is "long non-coding RNA (DCAR_LNC001187)". The record is from RNAcentral. Lineage: Eukaryota; Viridiplantae; Streptophyta; Magnoliopsida; Apiales; Apiaceae.
CCUGUGUUUACUUUAUAUACUUCAACUUUGCCUAAACUGUGGAUGCAAAAGAUGAAAAUUUGAUUCAUAUAUAUGUCGCAAAAAAUAUAAGUCUGAAUAACAUUUAUGCCUCCAAGUUUCACCUUAUCAAAAAGAUAAGGCCAUAUCUAGUAAAAUCAAAUUAUAAACCACACAUCAUAUCACAUACCAGGACUUAGCUGCAAGAUUUCCAAAACUAGAGUUAGCAGAGAGAGUGGAGGUAAACAGCAGAACUAAGUAUUCUGUUUAAGGAUUGUUCAUUAACAUUUUACUGUGAAGGAGUGGGUAUAUUACUGGUUGGGGAUGAGGUGGGUAUAUCUGGAAGUCAUAACGGGGAGUUCCUGGUAAAAGUGAUGUUCAUGUAGGGUCCCUAGUGCCAGUAAUCCAAGGAGAUCUUCUAUCUGCUUCCACUUGAUUAAUU